ACUACGGGAGGCAGCAGUAGGGAAUAUUGCUCAAUGGGGGAAACCCUGAAGCAGCAACGCCGCGUGGAGGAUGAAGGUUUUAGGAUUGUAAACUCCUUUUGUUUGAGAAGAAAAUGACGGUAUCUAACGAAUAAGCACCGGAUAACUCCGUGACAGCAGCCGCGGUAAUACGGAGGGUGCAAGCGUUACUCGGAACAACUGGGCGUAAAGAGUGCGUAGGCGGGGUAAGAAGUCAGGUGUGAAAACCUGUAGGCUAACUACAGAACCGCAGUUGAAACUGUUACUCUGGAGUGUGGGAGAGGUAGGUGGAAUUCUUGGUGUAGGGGUGAAAUCCGUAGAGAUCAAGAGGAAUACUCAUUGCGAAGGCGACCUGCUGGAACAUUACUGACGCUGAUGCACGAAAGCGUGGGGAGCAAACAGGAUUAGAUACCCUAGUAGUC
RNAcentral lists this ribosomal RNA (440 nucleotides) under uncultured bacterium. RNAcentral's name for it is "partial 16S ribosomal RNA". It matches the Rfam family "Bacterial small subunit ribosomal RNA", at positions 338 to 795 of the family's 1533-position model. The record is from RNAcentral.